GAGGAUAUAGGUCAAGUGGUAGAAUGCAUGUUUAGCAGAUAUGAGGUCCUGGGUUCGAUUCCUAGUACCUCCU
RNAcentral lists this transfer RNA (73 nucleotides) under Camelus bactrianus (Bactrian camel). It matches the Rfam family "tRNA". From Rfam's summary of the family: Transfer RNA (tRNA) molecules are approximately 80 nucleotides in length. Their secondary structure includes four short double-helical elements and three loops (D, anti-codon, and T loops). Lineage: Eukaryota; Metazoa; Chordata; Mammalia; Artiodactyla; Camelidae. RNAcentral also lists the same sequence under 2 other names. The record is from Rfam by way of RNAcentral.